CUUAUCAUUUAAUUCCAAAUGCAUUCAAGGCGCAUGCGUUGAGGAUGUGUGACUGAACAGGAAAUUCCAAAUAUUCAAUGACCUUUCACUUAAUUUGCUCCAAAAGCGACGGCAGUGAAAAUUCUAAGCUAUCAUCUUACAAGUGCAAUCGCAAUCGUCUUCAACAAUUUUUGCUUUUGUUUACUAAUCAUUUCCAUUAUAUUUCAGUUUGGAUAUAUAUUUCUUUUAAAAUUGUGCUAAUAUAUGUGUGCUUUUAUUGUGAAAUUACAUAUCAGUGGUUGUUUUUGCUGUUUUCUUCGUUCUGUGAUUUAUUUUUCAAUUGGGAUUUCUUUAUUUCUGGAAACGAUGGCAGAAAGAGCAUCCAGCAACCAGAGAACUCAGAUCGGAUCAGAGCCAGUUCAAUUCACACGACUUGGAUGCCAACAAAGGAUGAUAGUUGGGCAAACACGGACCCCUGGACACACCAGAGGUGGGAUCAGGUGCCUAGGAGGAGUAAGCAUCCCCUGUUGACCGGUCACACCCGCCGUGAGCCCCAUAUCCUGAUCAGAUAAUGAGAAUGAUAUAGACAUGAUAGAAGUGGAAAAAGAUUGUGACUAUUUUAGUAUGAAAAAGGAUUUGUCAACAAAUGAUGCAGAAAGGAAACGAAAUAAAAAAGAUUCCUGUACACUUCAAUUCACAAAGAAAACACCCACCAUUAUAGAUCUACACAUUUUUAUAUGACGGUCACUGAACGGGACGUAUUAUGUUAUGAUGCUGUCCAUGUGUCUGUCUGACUGGCUGGCUGUCCGUCCGGGGUCAUGUUUUCCGGACUUUUUCCCGUAACAGAUGCAUAUACAACUUUGAAAGAAAACCAAGAAAGGGACUACUAGAUGAGAGUGAAUGAGGUUCAUCAAUUGAUGUUGAUCCUGAAGCCAUUAAAGAAAUAAGCAGUGAGCUUCAUUUUACCUGUAAGCCUAAAAGUCAGCGGCACACUUGGACGGAAAAAGAGGACAGACUUGUAACAGUUUUUCACAGAGGAAAUAAAUGAUGGAACACAAAAAGGAAAUAAGGGAGCACUAAACAUCAAAAAUAAAAUGAAGAGCUUUAUUCAGCAAUAUCCAGAAUUUCUUAAGGACUAUGAAGUGUCUAAACAAAAAUUCCUGAUCAGAGUGAAACUUUUAAACUGCAGAAGAAGGAAAAGAGAGGUGUAUUUCCACAAUCUUGGAAACAUUGCUCAGUAAAAAAUUACAUUAUGGAGUCAUCAUUUAAAAAGUUGACAAAGUGAACAUGUAUUUCAGCUCUACAUCUACAAGUUUCAUGAAAGUUUAAACAUGGGGUGUUGUUGGAGUGGUAGUACCUUUGUUCUAAGAAGCAAGUUGAUUCAAAGCAGCACACUUUUUAUCUAACAAACACAAGAAAACAACUACAUGUUAAAAGCAUCACAGAUAUUCUUUAUCGCAAAGAUCUUAAUGGUGACAAAAAAUACUUUUUUCUCAGUAGCGUAUCUUUCAACAGCAGUCUUAGCAACACAUCUACAUGCCCUCAUUAAGUUUUGUAAAGGUUUGAAAUCUGGGUGUAGGUGGAGUGGUAGUACCUUUGUUCUACACUGGUCCACACACCACACACACAUUUCAGACUCUUACAUCCCCUUACACAAACAGCACUAUAUAAACAGUCUUUUCAGCAAAACAAAUGCCAAGCUAUUGUAUAUUUACCCAAAGGAACACAACUUACAUUUCCAAUUUGUGUAUCUGAAACAUGUAUAUCACCAUGUCUCCAUACAAAACGGCACUAUUCUUUUCAGCAACACAUUACCACCCAAGUCAAUGUAUGAUGUACUGUUAUGACAUUGAUAAUAACUUCCAAUGAUAUACAUAGGCUAAUGUAUACAAUUACAUAUUAUAUAUUCUGGAUGAUCUAAAUCUAUAAAUCUUUUAAUUUAUGAAAUGUAUUCCAUUUCUUCUAAAAACAUCUACAUAAUAAUUUUUGCAUGCUUUUCUACUUUGUACACAUUUGUCCAAGUGGUAACAAAGUUAUUUAACAAAGGCGAAUUGCCUCUACAUUUGCAACUAUACACAAAGUAUUUUAAAUAAUAAUUAAUCAAAUUGAUCAUUUCAUUUUCUGAGCUACCCAGCAAAAAGUUUUUUUUAUCAACAACAAUAUUUACUGAAAAAAAAUCCCUAAACCAGGACUGCACAUUCUUGAAAAAUAAAACAUUUUCACAGUCAUACACAACAUGCUCUAUUGAUUCCUUUUGUUUUGCACAAAACGAACAUAAAUCGUUGUCUAUUUUCUUUAUUUUUAACAAAAAUGAUUUGUGAUUAAAAUUUUAUGAUUUAUACGAUAUUGUACCUCUACAUUUGUAGAUAUUUGUAUCCUUUGUAAUAGUAAAAACAUUUUUAUUAAUUGUAUUCCACUCUUCUUGAGAGAUAUCAAAUUGUAUAUCCCACUUCUUUUGACCUGUAGGUUUUUCUUCACAAUAAUUAAAAAUUUGGUAGUUUUUUCUUGUUUCUUUUAAAAUACAUGAAAGGGGCUAUAUGUAGAGGAAUAGUAGGUUCUUGAACUUUUAUAAACUGGUUUAUUCCAUUAACUCUCAUUGCUUUCUUCAAUGCUUGUCUUAAACCAGAAAAUGAGAUUUUACUUUAUACAUUUCCAUGAAUUGAUUAUAAUUCAUGGUAUCUCCAUUCUCAUCUAACAAUGAGUUAACUGUAUAUACAUUAUUUUCACACCAUUCUUUCAGAUAUAAAGUUUUUCUAUUUAUACCUUUAUGUUUUCAUUGUACUAUAAAACACUGUUAACCAUAAGUUCAGAAGAUUUUUUUUCUCAAAAAGAAAAUACAAAAAUUUCUCACAAAAGAUACUACAAUAACUAUUUUUACAGCAGCACAAAAACAUCCUGUAACAAAAGUCAUUCAGCAACACAUCUACAUGCCCUCAUUAAGUUUUGUAGAUGUUUGAAAUCUGGGUGUAGGUGGAGUGGUACAGUAUAUCCGCAACGUUAUUCUUGACAUGAUAAACAAUAGAGCACGAUACACGCACGAUAGGAUAGGAUACAUGCACGAUACGAUAGGAUACACGCAUGAUACGAUAGGAUAAACGCAAAACCUGAUAAACGAUCUUCACGAUAAACCUGAUAUAAACGCAAAACAUGAUAAACGAUCUUCAUGAUAAACGGAAAACCUGAUAGGAAUGUUGUAAAUUUAGAAACGAGUUAGACAGAACGAAAUUUUGAUACCUACAACAUAAUUACAUUAUGUUGAUAAUAAUAUUGAAGGAUUUCAAUGUUCAUUAUAUACCUACAUUACGGACAAUGCAGAUUUUUUGUUUUCUGCGUUCUUGCAGUUGGCAAAAUCUAUAGGUAACUCAGGAAAACCGCGUUCUCAUCGCGGGGUGACUAUCAGUUACCUGUCCCCGUCGCGGUAACAUUUGUUUAAAACAUUGAUCGAUUUUGUACCAUAUAAUUUCUUUCACCCAAGGUCGUACUUUUUAUUAUUAUUAUUAUUUAUGUUUUUUAUGCCAUCACAGCUAAAAUAAAAAAACUAAAAUGCAUACGGCAUUGAAUUCAUUAUUUGAUAUCUAUAUGAAUUUUCUCAGCCAAUGAUUCUAAAACUUAUAUUGUACGUCACCUAAUGUUUAAUAUAUAAAUUAUACAGGGAAUUCACUAAAUGUAAUAUAAUGUAGUGGUAUCAUGCUUCCGUAGCUCUCUUAUGCUAAUGUAUAUUACCUUGAAUAUGAAAUAAAACCAAGUAAUAUUUUGUGUGUAGCGAGGAGGGGGUUAUUUUGCAUCAAGCUCUAAGUUCACGGCUCAUUCAACAUCUCAAGUUAUUUUCAUAAAAAAAUCAACCGCACUACACCUGUUAGAUAUUUUUACACUAUGAAUGAUAAUUGAUAGUCAUAAGUAAUUGGAACAUAGUUAUUUGAAUUGAUAUUUUGUUAACAAAACAUAAAUAAACUGUUUAAAAAGCAUAAACAAACCCCCGCUUGUUUUAAAUUCACAAUUUUGAAACUCUUAGUGUGUAAAAAAUUCAAAUAAUCAUCAAAACCAACAUAAAUUUCCAGUAUCUACACGUACGACUAUUGGUACAUGUGUACAUGUACAAAGUAAAAACAAAACAACGAUGACAGCGGAAUUGUGCCCAUUUGAGCAGAAUUUUGGGGGAUGCAACACCCUUGCACCCUUUUAAAACUUAAUCUUCUAAUGGGUGAAAUACAAUGUCUCUGAGAAUGUUAGCUGUCAAAACACGGGUGAUACACAAAAUCAGAUAUAAGGACGCGCACAAGUUCAGCAGUUGCUGUAUAAGUAGCAUACAAGUGAAAAAAAUCGGAAGAAAAAGAACCAUUAUUAAAAUAUACAUGUAUGUGAUAAACAAUGUAAUUUACUGAUUUUUCCUUUCAAAUCGGAACUCCCUAUUUUUCUGUUAGUGUUAAUUACCAAUAAUUGUUUCUAGACAAACAAGUGUUUAUGAACUUCAGAUGAAGGAGCUUUCAGAUUUACUGUCCUCGGUUUUCUUGACAGACCACUGCCUACUUUCCAGACUACUUAGAAUUAAAUUGUGAUAAAUUUUCACUCUCUCUGGACAGACAAAUACAUGUAGCUCUUCUUCUGCCUUAAAAUCGACAACUUUAUGUCCUCCUUCAAAUAUACCGUCUUUCCUCGAUUCCUAAAAAUAGCUUCUUUAACAAAACGAAUAAAGGUUUCGGAAAGUAUCAUACUUUUUCAUUAGAUUUUAUAUACGAUCCCGAUAGUUUCCGAAGCUACACCAUAAACGAUUUUCACGAUAAACGGAAAACCUGAUACACGCAAAACACGAUAGACCUGAUAAAUGCAAAACAUGAUAGAAAACAGAAAACCUGAUACACAAUAGGAUAGGAUACACGCACGAUACGAUAGGAUACACGCACGAUAGAGCACGAUAGGAAUGUCAAGAAUAACGUUGCGGGUACUGUAGUACCUUUGUUCUACACUGGUCCACACACCACACUCACAUUCCAGACUCUUAUCUAAAACUCAUCACAUCCCCUUACAGAAACAGCACUAUCUAAAAUAUCUUCUCAGCAACAUGACCACUCAAGCUAGGACAGAUUUUCACCUUAUAUACACAAAAAACCCACAUUCAUGUAAUUGUACCCAACACAAGAAAGAACCGAGAAAGAUUGAAAAGGUACUAUCCUAACCAACCUACAUCACCUCGCAGAAACAGUGCUUCAUUUAUGUCCUGAGGUAAACACGAACUACAGUCACAAGCCUCCAGGAGAUGAUCAUGGACUUCAAGCAGUGACCAGAGUUGACCAAAGACUACAUCCACUAAUUGCACAGAUUUGACCAUAGACUACAACAAGAAGUACAUAGUAGUUGACCAUGAACAACAAUCACAAGCAGCCAGUGGAGGAAGGUAAACUAUAGCUGGAUGGACUACAAUGGAUGUCUACAAUGGACCACCAUGGACCUAAAAAAAAUAGUCGCUCCAGCUCACACAGCCUUGUCUACCUACCUGUCCAGCAGUCGGCCUACUGCACUGUACCUGUCAAGAUGUUUACCUGUUUUCUAUGUUUUUUGGUUGAAGCUUUGCCACAUUUAAGUCUGCAGUCAAGCCAUGAAUACCAGAGAGCAUAUCAAAAGGAUUACCACCUGAUGUCAGAAGACGUCAGAGGCACACACAAUGAAGAGGAAAUAUGCAGAUGAAUUAAACCAAUUCAGUACUGCCCACCUCCUUAGCCAACAGGACAACACUUCUGCCAGACCCAUGGGAUGCUGAGUGGACUGCUGAGUGACACAUGGCGUUAAAGUUCCUGGCCCCAGUUGUGUUCUUGGGAGCAUAAGUGAAGACCCGCUGGUGAAGAUUCUCACAUUUGUUGGUUGUGGCGAGUUGGCAGACCUUCUCUCCAGAAUUGUUUACAGAUGACAGACUGAAUACUGUCCAUGUCUGCAUAGUCAAGGCCCAGAUGUUUUCCGUGCGGAAGGAACUUGGUGCUGUAGCCCGUGAGAUGGGCUGUGCAGGGUUCUUAGCUUGUGGAUGAAGCAGUGCUGAAUUGGUACUUCAUUCUCUCUAGAAUAGUCCCUUAUGGUCUUUUGGAUCUGAGCACUGGCAUCACUGGUAAUGGAACAAGGUUGAACAUAACUUAUUGGCAGUUUGGAGGGCCAAAACCAGUUUUCGGGAGGUGUUGUUUUCCACCGAAGCUCUGGGUUGCUGCCUCGAAUCCUGGCUGUGGCCUGUUGUUGUAAGAGGUGUCAGUCUCGAUGUGGACUUCGUUUCCUCGACCGAGAAAUUGGUUGACACGUCAGACAUACCGCUGAUUGUCGAUCAUCGAGGCUACGUUGAUUUCCUCCACUCUGUCACACAUCUGAUUGAGUUUCCGCUGCAGACCACGGCUGUCAGGUGGAUUUAUGUUGAGGCAGCACAUAAGGAAACGUGCAUCAGACACUCCCAUCUUAGACUUGGUGAGAGCCAGUACCAGUCCAUCAUUGAGGGCACUUGAUUCCGGUCCUCAAGUCUUCUUGACAGUUGUGUAGAGCUGCAUGUCUGGCUUGGCAGGUCGCAGUUUGGUUGGGAGAAUGAGAUCUUCAGU
Molecule: RNA transcript, 6545 nt
Organism: Ostrea edulis (European flat oyster)
Lineage: Eukaryota; Metazoa; Mollusca; Bivalvia; Ostreida; Ostreidae
Exons: 16
Source: RefSeq, a predicted model, not a curated record